UACAGAGGUCCCAAGCGUUGUUCGGAUUCAUUGGGCGUAAAGGGUGCGUAGGCGGCGCGGUAAGUCGGGUGUGAAAUCUCGGAGCUUAACUCCGAAACUGCAUUCGAUACUGCCGUGCUUGAGGACGGGAGAGGAGACUGGAAUUUACGGUGUAGCGGUGAAAUGCGUAGAUAUCGUAAGGAAGACCAGUGGCGAAGGCGGGGCUCUGGACAGUUACUGACGCUGAGGCACGAAGGCCAGGGGAGCAAACGGG
RNAcentral lists this ribosomal RNA (253 nucleotides) under uncultured bacterium. RNAcentral's name for it is "partial 16S ribosomal RNA". It matches the Rfam family "Bacterial small subunit ribosomal RNA", at positions 524 to 776 of the family's 1533-position model. The record is from RNAcentral.